UAGAGUUCCACGUGUAGCGGUGAAAUGCGUAGAGAUGUGGAGGAAUACCGGUGGCGAAGGCGGCCUUCUGGACAGAUACUGACGCUGAGAUGCGAAAGCGUGGGGAGCAAACAGGAUUAGAUACCCUGGUAGUCCACGCUGUAAACGAUGUCGAUUUGGAGUUUGUUGCCUAGAGUGAUGGGCUCCGAAGCUAACGCGAUAAAUCGACCGCCUGGGGAGUACGGCCGCAAGGUUAAAACUCAAAUGAAUUGACGGGGGCCCGCACAAGCGGUGGAGCAUGUGGUUUAAUUCGAUGCAACGCGAAGAACCUUACCUGGUCUUGACAUCCACAGAAUCUUGCAGAGAUGCGAGAGUGCCUUCGGGAACUGUGAGACAGGUGCUGCAUGGCUGUCGUCAGCUCGUGUUGUGAAAUGUUGGGUUAAGUCCCGCAACGAGCGCAACCCUUAUCCUUUGUUGCCAGCGAUUCGGUCGGGAACUCAAAGGAGACUGCCGUUGAUAAAGCGGAGGAAGGUGGGGACGACGUCAAGUCAUCAUGGCCCUUACGACCAGGGCUACACACGUGCUACAAUGGCGUAUACAAAGGGAGGCGACCUCGCGAGAGCAAGCGGACCUCAUAAAGUACGUCUAAGUCCGGAUUGGAGUCUGCAACUCGACUCCAUGAAGUCGGAAUCGCUAGUAAUCGUGAAUCAGAAUGU
This 695-nucleotide ribosomal RNA is filed under the name uncultured Gilliamella sp. RNAcentral describes it as "bacterial SSU rRNA". It matches the Rfam family "Bacterial small subunit ribosomal RNA", at positions 662 to 1357 of the family's 1533-position model. Lineage: Bacteria; Pseudomonadati; Pseudomonadota; Gammaproteobacteria; Orbales; Orbaceae. The record is from RNAcentral.